RNAcentral lists this ribosomal RNA (249 nucleotides) under uncultured bacterium. RNAcentral describes it as "partial 16S ribosomal RNA". It matches the Rfam family "Bacterial small subunit ribosomal RNA", at positions 57 to 305 of the family's 1533-position model. The record is from RNAcentral.
GCAAGUCGAACGGUAACAUGGUCUUCGGACUGAUGACGAGUGGCGCACGGGUGCGUAACGCGUAUGCAACCUACCCUUAACUGGAGGAUAGCCCGAAGAAAUUCGGAUUAAUACUCCAUAGUAUCCAAAGAUGGCAUCUGAAUUGGAUUAAAGAUUUAUUGGUUAAGGAUGGGCAUGCGUGACAUUAGCUAGUUGGUAAGGUAACGGCUUACCAAGGCAACGAUGUCUAGGGGUUCUGAGAGGAUGAUC